UUGACCUCGGAUCAGGUAGGGAUACCCGCUGAACUUAAGCAUAUCUAAA
RNAcentral lists this ribosomal RNA (49 nucleotides) under uncultured Tarzetta. RNAcentral describes it as "partial 28S ribosomal RNA". Lineage: Eukaryota; Fungi; Ascomycota; Pezizomycetes; Pezizales; Pyronemataceae. The record is from RNAcentral.